Molecule: ribosomal RNA, 1834 nt
Filed under: Acinetobacter baumannii
Lineage: Bacteria; Pseudomonadati; Pseudomonadota; Gammaproteobacteria; Moraxellales; Moraxellaceae
Description: partial 23S ribosomal RNA
Rfam family: Bacterial large subunit ribosomal RNA
Source: RNAcentral
AGCGUAAUAGCUCACUAGUCGAGUCGGCCUGCGCGGAAGAUGUAACGGGGCUAAAACUAUGUGCCGAAGCUGCGGAUGUAUACUUUGUAUACGUGGUAGGGGAGCGUUCUGUAAGCCGAUGAAGGUGUGUUGAGAAGCAUGCUGGAGGUAUCAGAAGUGCGAAUGCUGACGUGAGUAACGACAAAACGGGUGAAAAACCCGUUCGCCGAAAGACCANAAGGGUUCCAGUCCAACGUUAAUCGGGGCUGGGUGAGUCGACCCCUAAGGCGAGGCCGAAAGGCGUAGUCGAUGGGAAAAUGGUUAAUAUUCCAUUACUUCUGUGUAAUGCGAUGAGAGGACGGAGAAGGCUAAAUCAGCCUGGCGUUGGUUGUCCAGGUGAAAGGAUGUAGGCAUGUAUCUUAGGCAAAUCCGGGGUACUCUAUGCUGAGAUCUGAUAGCAAGCUGUACUUGUACAGCGAAGUGGUUGAUGCCAUGCUUCCAGGAAAAGUCUCUAAGCUUCAGUUACACAGGAAUCGUACCCGAAACCGACACAGGUGGUCAGGUCGAGUAGACCAAGGCGCUUGAGAGAACUCUGCUGAAGGAACUAGGCAAAAUGGUACCGUAACUUCGGGAGAAGGUACGCUGUUGUUGGUGAUGGAACUCGCUUCCUGAGCUGACGACAGCCGCAGAAACCAGGCCGCUGCAACUGUUUAUUAAAAACAUAGCACUCUGCAAACACGAAAGUGGACGUAUAGGGUGUGAUGCCUGCCCGGUGCUGGAAGGUUAAUUGAUGGGGUUAGCGUAAGCGAAGCUCUUGAUCGAAGCCCCAGUAAACGGCGGCCGUAACUAUAACGGUCCUAAGGUAGCGAAAUUCCUUGUCGGGUAAGUUCCGACCUGCACGAAUGGCAUAAUGAUGGCGGCGCUGUCUCCAGCAGAGGCUCAGUGAAAUCGAAAUCGCUGUGAAGAUGCAGUGUACCCGCGGCUAGACGGAAAGACCCCGUGAACCUUUACUGCAGCUUGACACUGAACUUUGACCUUACUUGUGUAGGAUAGGUGGGAGGCUUUGAAGCUGGAACGCUAGUUCCAGUGGAGCCGUCCUUGAAAUACCACCCUGGUAAUGUUGAGGUUCUAACUCUGUCCCGUGAUCCGGGACGAGGACCGUGUCUGGUGGGUAGUUUGACUGGGGCGGUCUCCUCCUAAAGAGUAACGGAGGAGUACGAAGGUGCGCUCAGCGUGGUCGGAAAUCACGCGUAGAGUAUAAAGGCAAAAGCGCGCUUAACUGCGAGACCCACAAGUCGAGCAGGUACGAAAGUAGGUCUUAGUGAUCCGGUGGUUCUGUAUGGAAGGGCCAUCGCUCAACGGAUAAAAGGUACUCUGGGGAUAACAGGCUGAUACCGCCCAAGAGUUCAUAUCGACGGCGGUGUUUGGCACCUCGAUGUCGGCUCAUCUCAUCCUGGGGCUGAAGCAGGUCCCAAGGGUAUGGCUGUUCGCCAUUUAAAGAGGUACGCGAGCUGGGUUUAGAACGUCGUGAGACAGUUCGGUCCCUAUCUACCGUGGGCGCUGGAAAUUUGAGAGGAUCUGCUCCUAGUACGAGAGGACCAGAGUGGACGAACCUCUGGUGUACCGGUUGUGACGCCAGUCGCAUCGCCGGGUAGCUAUGUUCGGAAGGGAUAACCGCUGAAAGCAUCUAAGCGGGAAGCCUACCUCAAGAUAAGAUUUCCCUAGGACUUUAUGUCCUCUAAAGAGCCGUUCGAGACUAGGACGUUGAUAGGUUGGAUGUGGAAGCAUAGUGAUAUGUGAAGCUGACCAAUACUAAUUGCUCGUGAGGCUUGACUAUACAACACCCAAGCAGUUG